Molecule: non-coding RNA, 74 nt
Organism: Danio rerio (zebrafish)
Lineage: Eukaryota; Metazoa; Chordata; Actinopteri; Cypriniformes; Danionidae
Source: Rfam
GGCCGGUCAGCUCAGCUGGUUAGAGCGUGGUGCUAAUAACGCCAAGGUCGUGGGUUCGAUCCCCGUACUGGCCA